This 902-nucleotide long non-coding RNA is filed under the name Malus domestica (apple). Its description in RNAcentral is "long non-coding RNA (MDOM_LNC007822)". The record is from RNAcentral. Lineage: Eukaryota; Viridiplantae; Streptophyta; Magnoliopsida; Rosales; Rosaceae.
GAACACAUUUAAAAACAUUAUACAUAACUUUUAGGGUUUAAGAAAAUAAUAGAAGAUGCCAAAAAAAUAAAAAAAUUGAUUGCUACCAAACUAGCACUAAAAUAUAGGAAUGGGAAUCAGUUCACUUCCAAACCUUCCACUGUGUUUACUAGCACACAAGGAAUCGGAAAAGUGUUAACUUCCUCUUAAAAUCUGUAAUAAAUACCUCAAUAUCAGGAAUCAGUUGAUCCAAUUCCCUUUCCUUUUCCUAUUUCUAAGUUCUCCCAUUCCUUCCUUAUUCCAUUUCUAUUAAGUAAACAUGCCCUGAGAUUUUAACUUUUGGACCACCAUUUUUGUCCUAUGAAUAUUUUAUCACAUCCACACUUCUGUACAGUAAAAUACUAACCAAAUAGAUUUAGGCCCCGUUUGGGAUUGAGGUGAUUUAAAAAAAGCCACUGUGAAAAAAAGCUGAGGGUCAUUUUUGUGUUUGGUAAACUGAAAAAAAAUGGCUUAUUUUGGAAGCUGCUGUGAGAAUAAGCUGAAAAUCAAAGGAAAAGCUGAAGCUGCUAUUUGCUGCUUUGAAAAAAAGCCAGUUUUUUCAAAGCACACGGAGCUACAGUGCUCCUUUAAUGAAAAGACACACUAUCAUCCUGAUUUUUUUUUCCAAAAGCACUUUCACAAAAAAGUUUACCAAACACUCUACUGGCUUUAUUUCACAGCCGCUUAUUCUCACAGCACAGCCGCUUAUUCUCACAGCAGUUUUUUUUCAAAGCACAGCAAUACCAAACCAGCCCUUAGACAGAUAGAUAAAAUACCACAUCCUCUGGAUCAUCAGGUUCUAUACGAAGUUUUGGUGGUAAACUUCGUGAUUGGAAGUCAAUAGAAGAAGCUUGUGCAAUCUUCCUUUUGAGUGCUUGUUUUGU